GUUGUGGGGACAGCAGGUGUGCGUGUGUGCCUGUGUUUGUGGGUGCGUGCUCAGACGUGGGUCCUCAAGGGGUCCCGGGCCUGCCCCUUCCUUCUCUGGGCCUCAGUUGUCUCCUGGGAGACCCGUGGAUGAUCCGGCUUGGGCCAUUUGUUUGCUAAGUCCAGGUCCCUGUGUGGGUGGCAGGUCCCGGGGCUGGAGCUGUGACUUCCCCUCUGGGUCUGAGUGUGAGCACGUGCGAUGCGCUGGGCUCCCCUCUGGGCGUGAGAGUGAGCACCUGCGAUGUGCUGGGCUCCCCUCUGGGCGUGAGAGUGAGCACCUGCGAGGUGCUGGGCUCCCCUCUGGGCGUGAGAGUGAGCACCUGCCAUGUGGUGGGCUCCCCUCUGGGUGCGGGUGCUUGCCGCUUCUGGGAUCCUCUCCAGCCGAAGGAACCAGGAGCGGGGAGAGCCUGGGAGCUCAGCCUGUGGGGCUGGGCAGGCUGCCCCGAAUCAAAUCCAGCCCCCUCUCUGCUGACCGCGUGCCCGGGAACCUCGCCGUGCCUCGCUGUGCACUCCUCCCCGUCUGUAAGACUGGAGCAGGACCGAGGGUCAGAGCGGCCGCUGUGGGCCUGGCCCUGCUCACCGCCCUGGGAUUGGGGUGGAGCUCAGAGAGGGCCAGGAGCCAGCGGCUGGUCGCACAGCAAUCAGUGGUGGAGAUGAGCCUCAAACUCAGGUCCCCAGACCCGAGUCUAGGGAGACAGUGGCCCUGUUUGACCAGUGGACACCCCCACAGAAGACGUAAACAUAAGACCUGAAGCUGUAAAACUCCUAGAGGGAAACAGGGGAAAUGCUGUUUGACAUGGGUCUUGGCAAUGAUUUUUUGGAUAUGAAGCCAAAAGCACAGGCGAAAAAGCAAAAAUAGACAAGUGGGACUACACCAAACUCAAAAGCUUCUGCACAGCAAAGGAAACAACAAAAUGAAAAGGCAGCCUACGGAAUGGGAGGGAAUAUUUGCAAACCCUCUCUCUGAUAAGGGGUUAACAUCCAAGAUAUAUAAGGAACUGCUGUCACUCAAUAGCAGAAAACCAAAUCAGCCAAUUAAAAAGUGGGCAAUGGAUUUGAAUCGACAUUUAUCCAAAGAAGACAAAUAAUCAGCCGGUAUAUAAAAAGGCACCCGACAUCACUUAUCACCAGGACAUGCAAAUCAAAGCCACAGUGAGACCGACUUGCACCUGUUAGGAUGGCUGGCAUCAAAAAGACAAGAUGGCAAGUGUUGGCCGGGGUGUGGAGAAAGGGAGCCCUUGUACCCUGUUGGUGGGAAUGUAAAAUGGUGCAACCAGUAUAGGAAACAGCAUGGAGGUUCCUCGGAAAACUAAAGAUAGAUCUGCCAUCUGAUCCAGCAAUCCCUCUACUGGGUUACAGCCAAAGGAAAUGGCACCAGGAUCUUGAAGAUAGAGCUGUACUCCCAUGAUCGCUGUGGCUUUGUUGAGGAUAGCCAAGAUACGGAAACGCCCGAAGUGUCUGUGGUCAGAUGAAUGAAGAAAGAAAAUGUGGUAUAGACACAUGAUGGAAUAUUAACCUUUAAAAAGAAGGAAACCUGCCAUAUAUGACAACGUGAAUAAACCUGGAGGAUUUUAUGCCAAGUGCAAUAAAGCCAGACCCAGAAAGGCCAA
Homo sapiens (human) is the source of this 1648-nucleotide long non-coding RNA. RefSeq lists it as uncharacterized. The transcript is spliced from 2 exons. The record is from RefSeq and is a predicted model, not a curated record. Lineage: Eukaryota; Metazoa; Chordata; Mammalia; Primates; Hominidae.